RNAcentral lists this ribosomal RNA (439 nucleotides) under uncultured bacterium. RNAcentral's name for it is "partial 16S ribosomal RNA". It matches the Rfam family "Bacterial small subunit ribosomal RNA", at positions 339 to 795 of the family's 1533-position model. The record is from RNAcentral.
CUACGGGAUGCACCAGUGAGGAAUAUUGCACAAUGGGGGGAACCCUGAUGCAGCAACGCCGCGUGGAGGAUGACGCAUUUCGGUGUGUAACCUCCUUUUAUAUGUCAAGAAAAUGACGGUAGCAUAUGAAUAAGCACCGGCUAACUCCGUGCCAGCAGCCGCGGUAAUACGGAGGGUGCAAGCGUUACUCGGAAUCACUGGGCGUAAAGGACGCGUAGGCGGGUUGGAAAGUCAGGUGUGAAAUCCUACAGCUUAACUGUAGAACUGCACUUGAAACUUCUAAUCUAGAGUAUGGGAGGGGGAGAUGGAAUUAGUGGUGUAGGGGUAAAAUCCGUAGAUAUCACUAGGAAUACCUAAAGAGAAGGCGAUCUCCUGGAACAUUACUGACGCUAAGGCGUGAAAGCGUGGGGAGCAAACAGGAUUAGAUACCCUUGUAGUC